RNAcentral lists this long non-coding RNA (1713 nucleotides) under Numida meleagris (helmeted guineafowl). Its description in RNAcentral is "lncRNA (ENSNMEG00000006680.1)". The record is from RNAcentral. Lineage: Eukaryota; Metazoa; Chordata; Aves; Galliformes; Numididae.
AAACUAAACUAAAAAGCCUUUGCUGAACAGCCGGCUGGACAAUUUCCAAGAUGCUCUUAAUGAUCAGCUGAAACAAGAACAUCCUGUUGAGUGCCGAACCAGCUGGGCAAUUUCCCCCCUGAUUUGGCAGCCUGAGCUGUCCUCUCAAAAGCCUGCAGAGCUAGUGGUUCCAGCACAGGACCCAGGAGCAUAAUACAUCCAGACCAUAGUCAAUGGUAUCACCCAUUCACUUACAUUGCAAACUUUCUCCUGGAGAUAAAAACAAACAAACAAAACAAAACAAACAAACAAAAAACUAUAAGGUGCUAAAGCUAAGUCUUUCUUGCUGGUUUUCUUAGUGUGGAUGUGAUCUCUGCUUCAACUCCCCUCAGUUAACUGAGGAGGGAAGCUACCUGCACCUUGAAGAUGUAACAGCAGACUGUCAGCACCAUAGAAACAAAACCUGGUGCUGAGAAUCAAGCUCCAGAACGAACUCGUGUUCAUUCUGACAUGCUGAAGCCGCAGUCACGUUUCCAUUCAUUCCGUUGCUUUUUAAUUUCCAUCAUAUGCUCCCCAGUAACAUGGAGGACGUGUGCCCUCUGGUAGGUCUGAUCGAUGCAAUCGAUGUGAACCAAAUGCCUGUUGCAGCCCAAACGCUCUAGAGGGCACCCUGCUCUCAGAGCACCUCUGCCUGAGCGCUGUCUGGCCAGCAAGCUCCUCGUGUAGCGUCGCCCUUCCUCGAGACUGGGGAGAUUCCCCACGCCAGAAUCCUUCCUCCUGAAAGAUUUCAGCUCCCCAUGGGCAAUCUAAAUGGAUCGUACUACAGCAAAAACUUCCUGAGUUGCAGCCAGCAGGAAACAGUGAAUGUGAAGCUUGUUUUCCAGCUGUGCAAAACACAUAGUUGUCAUCAGUUUCUUUUCUCUUUCUGGGUUGGAAUGAUGAGAGGAAAGACGUGUGGUCAUCACACGUACAAGCACACAUGCAGGUAACUGUCUGAGAUGAGUGUUUGUUAUACUCCUGCCGGCUGAGCUGUUGUUUUGACUUUCCAAGUCACAAUACUCCCACAUAAAGCAGAAUUGGCAGAGAAAUCUUAUUGCAAAGUCAGCCUGGGGAAUGCCACAAAGAACUGCAUGAGCACUUCAAUCAUCUUCCUCAGUAUGAAAUAAGAUGAUGUUAUCUUGGAAGCAGUUUAAGCCAAGAGCAGAGCUGUGUGCGCAGCUUAUACGGUGCAGUGAAGUGAUCUGUCCAAAGCACAGUGGUCAUGGGGGGCUGUCCCCAGUGUUGGCACAGUCAGAUCAUUGGAAGUGAUAGAGGGGGAGGAAGAUGCAGCUGAUGGAUGCAGAGGAUGCUGUUGCUUAGCCCAGCCCUGCUCCAGCACUGGGCAAGUGCCCCCAAACCCAGUGACUUUCCAUGAAUGUAGAGAGCUCUCUGCAGCAGUAACAGCUUGUACCAGGGCAAAGAUGCACUGAAACUGUACAUGCCAGACUGUCCCCAGCACAAUUGCAUAAUGACAGUCAGAUACUUCCGUUGUGUUACCAGGGAAGAUGUGUUCUGCUUUUCUUUCCACCCUUUGAAAUGUUCAGAAAUUGCAUGCACUCUUUAAAAGAACACCUGCAUGCCACUCUGAGGGAGGUGCUUACAGAGGAGUGUAUGAAAUGAAAGCACUGUGAGUCUGUACUGAAGCAAGAGGAAUGUGGCACAGAAAUAAAAAUACUAAAAUAAUAAAAAUUAACA